This 70-nucleotide transfer RNA is filed under the name Marmota monax (woodchuck). Its description in RNAcentral is "tRNA.Undet". Lineage: Eukaryota; Metazoa; Chordata; Mammalia; Rodentia; Sciuridae. The record is from RNAcentral.
GGGGUCAUGGCUCAGUGGUAGAGCGCUUGCCUUGCCAUGCUAGACCCUGGGUUCGAUCCUCAGUACCACA